AUCGAUUCUCGUGUCCUCGGUUGUGUAUGAUGGUGGUGGGAUAUUCGUACGCAUACGUAAAAUGUGGGGUCGAGGAUAGCGAAUAGCGAAGAAUCGCGCAGCAGCAGCAUCAGCAACGACAACGACGAUUACGGGUCGACGUUAGAAGAACGGGGGGUAUAUAGUGCACGGGUAUAAAAAAGGUUUGCGGGGUGUGCGUAAGCUUAUUUUGAUAUUGCUAAUUCCAAUCAAACGGUGAAACAAUGUUUUUAUCGUCGAAUAAGUGAAAGAUCGUUGAAUAAGUGAAAAGUCGUUACGUUGAUCGCGUAACUGCUGCUGCUAAAUUUUACUUUGACACGUUUAGUGCGGAGCGUUCAAACGGUGGCUUUUACCGAGCCCCGUUCAAUUUUCGUCCAGCACCUUCCGACAAACAAAUAACAACGUCAUGGAUCGAAGAAAAAUGUCAACGGCAGGCGACUCGCUGUACCAAGCACUGGAAAUUCCAAAAACAGCCACUUCCGAAGAUAUAAAGAAGACUUACAGAAGAUUGGCAUUAAAGUAUCAUCCGGACAAAAAUCCCGACAACCCCGAAGCAGCUGAUAGGUUUAAAGAAAUAAAUCAUGCACAUUCGAUACUAAUGGAUAUAACUAAACGCAACAUUUAUGACAAUUAUGGAUCGCUUGGUUUGUACGUGGCUGAUCAUUUUGGAGAGGAAAAUGUCAAUGCUUACUUCGUUGUCACAUCAGGCUGGUGCAAGGCGAUCUUCGCGCUCUGUGCAUUCCUGACCGGUUGUUAUUGCUGCUGCUGUUGUUGCUGCUGCUGUAACGGAUGUUGCGGCAAAUUGAAGCAAAAUCGACCGGAGGACAACGGACUUUACCACAAUCUGCAGCGGGACCAGAAUCCUGAUGGCGAUGUUGUGACGAUACAACCGCGAGGUGGCAAUAAGGUUGUUUCUUCCUCAGAAAACGAGGAUGAGAGCGAGGAAGAGGCAGUGACUGCGCAACCCCAAGGUGGAGCUUCUCAAGGAGCCACCGGAGCCGCCGUAUUCGCCAUGCCUCCACCUCCGUCUUCGCAAAGUACAGUCCCGAACGAGGGCACCAACUUGACGAGUGGGGCAGAACGUCCCCUUUACGGCGAAGGUAAACCAAGACCGCGAUUAUAAAAAUCGCGAUAAACAAAAUCAAUUGUUGACUCCAUGCUCUCUCGGUCAAUCAGUCGAUCCAUAAAAAUGAUGAAACCAAACUUAUCAAUGGAGACACCCUUGAGAGAAGAUCCGAGAGAGAAGCGUCGACACGAUAAGCGAGGGCUUUGACGUUGCGAAGAAUCACACGAUAUUUACCGAAACAGUUUUACCUAAUCGUGUGAUCAACGCCAUUAUUCGAAUUAUUUAUAAACGAAAAGAGGCCACGAAAGAAUUCGUCUCAUAUUUUUGAAAAUCAUGUCUGCUAGGUAUUAUUUUUGUAAAUUUAUGUUAUUUUUUGCUAAGUUAUUCCUUCUUCGAGAUAAUAGUCGCUUGUAUUACAAUUCACGUUCACGAUCAAUGUAUACUAGACGAUGUAAAACGUGGAUGAAUAUCGACGAAAAAAUGUGCUUGCUGCGAAACGAA
This 1585-nucleotide unclassified non-coding RNA is filed under the name Venturia canescens. Its description in RNAcentral is "dnaJ homolog subfamily C member 5-like, transcript variant X2". Lineage: Eukaryota; Metazoa; Arthropoda; Insecta; Hymenoptera; Ichneumonidae. The record is from RNAcentral.